CAUGCAAGUCGAACGAGGAUAUAUCCUUCGGGAUAUAAGCCGAGUGGCGCAAGGGUGAGUAAUGCAUAGAUUACCUGCCUCUAGGAUAAGGACAACUUUGUGAAAACGAAGCUAAUACUUAAUAAUACAAAAGAAAAUAAUUUUCUUUUGUCAAUGGGAGGGUAGCAAUACCUUUUGCCUAGAGAGGGGUUUAUGUCCUAUCAGCUUGUUGGUGGGGUAAUGGCCUACCAAGGCGAAGACGGGUAGCCGGUCUUAGAGGAUGGUCGGCCACACUGGGACUGAGACACUGCCCAGACUUCUACGGAAGGCUGCAGUCGAGAAUCUUUCGCAAUGCCCGAAAGGGUGACGGAGCGACGCCGCGUGAGUGAGGAAGGCCUUAGGGUUGUAAAGCUCUGUCAGGAGUUAAGAAAUAUAAGUGUGUUAAUACCACGUUUAUUUGACGAAGGCUCCAAAGGAAGCCACGGCUAACUCUGUGCCAGCAGCCGCGGUAAUACAGAGGUGGCAAGCGUUGUUCGGAAUUAUUGGGCGUAAAGAGCACGUAGGUGGGUUUGUAAGUCAGAUGUGAAAGCCUUCUGUUCAACGGAAGAAUUGCAUCUGAAACUGCAAGUCUUGAGUGUAGGAGGGGAGAAUGGAACUUCUGGUGGAGCGGUGAAAUGCGUAGAUAUCAGAAGGAACGCCGGCGGCGAAAGCGAUUCUCUGGCCUAUUACUGACACUCAGUGUGCGAAAGCUAGGGGAGCAAACGGGAUUAGAUACCCCGGUAGUCCUGGCCGUAAACGAUGGGCACUAAGUAGAGGGAAUUACCGAUGUUCUCUCUGCCGUAGCUAACGCAUUAAGUGCCCCGCCUGGGGAGUACGGCCGCAAGGCUAAAACUCAAAAGAAUUGACGGGGGCUCGCACAAGCGGUGGAGCAUGUGGCUUAAUUCGAUGCAACGCGAAAAACCUUACCGGGGCUUGACAUGGUAGAAGUAGGAACCCGAAAGGGUAACGAACGGUAUCCAGUCCAUAGCUAUCACAGGUGUUGCAUGGCUGUCGUCAGCUCGUGUCGUGAGACGUUGGGUUAAGUCCCCUAACGAGCGAAACCCUUGUUUUUAGUUACCAGCGGGUUAUGCCGGGUACUCUAGAAAGACUGCCGUCGUCAAGACGGAGGAAGGUGGGGAUGACGUCAAGUCAUCAUGGCCCUUAUGCCCCGGGCUGCACACGUGCUACAAUGGUCGGUACAAACGGAAGCGAAGCCGAGAGGUGAAGCGAAUCCUAAAAAGCCGAUCUCAGUUCGGAUUGGAGGCUGAAAUUCGCCUCCAUGAAGUUGGAAUCGCUAGUAAUCGCGGAUCAGCAAUGCCGCGGUGAAUAUGUUCCCGAGCCUUGUACACACCGCCCGUCAAGCCACCCAAGCAGGAUGCACCCGAAAACAUUAUAUCUAACCAGGGCAACUUGGAGGAAAGUGUUGAAGGAGUGUUUUGUGAGGAGGACUAAGUCGUAACAAGGUAGUCGUAGGAGAACCUGCGGCUGGAUCACCUCCUUUCU
This 1521-nucleotide ribosomal RNA is filed under the name uncultured Planctomycetales bacterium. Its description in RNAcentral is "16S ribosomal RNA". It matches the Rfam family "Bacterial small subunit ribosomal RNA". Lineage: Bacteria; Pseudomonadati; Planctomycetota; Planctomycetia; Planctomycetales. The record is from RNAcentral.